GACAGAGGGGGCAAGCGUUGUCCGGAGUUACUGGGCGUAAAGGGCGCGGAGGCGGCCUGCGGCGUCGGCGCUGAAAGCGCCCCGCUUAACGGGGCGAGGCGUGCCGAUACGCGCAGGCUCGAGGCGAGCAGAGGGUGGUGGAAUUCCGGGUGGAGCGGUGAAAUGCGUAGAGAUCCGGAGGAACGCCAGUGGGGAGGCCGGCCACCUGUGCUCGGCCUUACGCUGCGUCGCGAAAGCGUGGCGAGCAAACCGG
RNAcentral lists this ribosomal RNA (253 nucleotides) under uncultured bacterium. Its description in RNAcentral is "partial 16S ribosomal RNA". It matches the Rfam family "Bacterial small subunit ribosomal RNA", at positions 524 to 776 of the family's 1533-position model. The record is from RNAcentral.